This 380-nucleotide ribosomal RNA is filed under the name uncultured bacterium. RNAcentral's name for it is "bacterial SSU rRNA". It matches the Rfam family "Bacterial small subunit ribosomal RNA", at positions 30 to 416 of the family's 1533-position model. The record is from RNAcentral.
AUUGAACGCUGGCGGCAGGCCUAAUACAUGCAAGUCGAACGGUAACAUAAGAAAGCUUGCUUUCUUGAUGACGAGUGGCGGACGGGUGAGUAAUAUUUGGGAAGCUACCUGAUAGAGGGGGACAACAGUUGGAAACGACUGCUAAUACCGCAUACAGCCUGAGGGUGAAAGCAGCAAUGCGCUAUCAGAUGCGCCCAAACGGGAUUAGCUAGUAGGUGAGGUAAAGGCUCACCUAGGCGACGAUCUCUAGCUGGUCUGAGAGGAUGAUCAGCCACAUUGGGACUGAGACACGGCCCAGACUCCUACGGGAGGCAGCAGUAGGGAAUAUUGCACAAUGGAGGAAACUCUGAUGCAGCCAUGCCGCGUGUGUGAAGAAGGCC